This 560-nucleotide ribosomal RNA is filed under the name Rolaspis whitehilli. RNAcentral describes it as "partial 28S ribosomal RNA". The record is from RNAcentral. Lineage: Eukaryota; Metazoa; Arthropoda; Insecta; Hemiptera; Diaspididae.
AUCUGGGCGGCGGAAUUCAGGAUGGUUGGCGGGCCCUGCCGGGCGUGUCCGGCCGUCUGAUAUUUCCGUCGCCGUGUCGGACGUCGCGACCUGUUUGUCGGUCGGUCCCUGCUCGGAGGAAUCGCGAUCGAGUUCGUUGCGCGGUACCGUUUCGGCGGUUGCCGUGCGGCGAAGACGCGACUCUCUGGCCGACGGCGGACAGUAAGCAACGGUGUCCGGCGCCGUGUCUCGCGCUCGGCGUCGGUGCCGGUCUGCGACGAUUUCUUCGGGCCUCUUUCCGACCCGUCUUGAAACACGGACCAAGGAGUCUAACAUGCGCGCGAGUCGCGGGGUUUCGAGCGUGCCGUGCCGUGCCACACGGCGCCGGUGCGCUCGUCACUAACGAAACCCGUACGUUGGAGGCGUAAUGAAAGUGAAUGGGGAAGAUGGCGUUCCGAGUCCACGUACCGUGAUCGUGUGUCGCGGCCGGACGUCCGCACUCCCGGGGCGUCUCGAUGGCUCGGCGCGGACGCGGACGAUCGUCUCUCUCGGGGGGCGGUGGUCGGUCUGCGCCGGACCGA